This 467-nucleotide ribosomal RNA is filed under the name uncultured bacterium. RNAcentral's name for it is "partial 16S ribosomal RNA". It matches the Rfam family "Bacterial small subunit ribosomal RNA", at positions 28 to 507 of the family's 1533-position model. The record is from RNAcentral.
GAUGAACGCUGACAGCAUGCUUAACACAUGCAAGUCAACUUGAAUUUGGGUUUUUAACUUAGGUUUGGGUGGCGGACGGGUGAGUAACGCGUAAAGAACUUGCCUCACAGCUAGGGACAACAUUUGGAAACGAAUGCUAAUACCUAAUAUUAUGAUAAUAGGGCAUCCUAUAAUUAUGAAAGCUAUAAGCGCUGUGAGAGAGCUUUGCGUCCCAUUAGCUAGUUGGAGAGGUAACGGCUCACCAAGGCGAUGAUGGGUAGCCGGCCUGAGAGGGUGAUCGGCCACAAGGGGACAGAGAGACGGCCCUUACUCCUACGGGAGGCAGCAGUGGGGAAUAUUGGACAAUGGACCGAGAGUCUGAUCCAGCAAUUCUGUGUGCAAGAUGAAGUUUUUCGGAAUGUAAAGUGCUUUCAGUUGGGAAGAAACAAAUGACGGUACCAACAGAAGAAGUGACGGCUAAAUACGUG